UAGAUCUACGGGACGCAGCAGUAGGGAAUCUUCCACAAUGGGCGAAAGCCUGAUGGAGCAACGCCGCGUGGGUGAAGAAGGUCUUCGGAUCGUAAAACCCUGUUGUUAGAGAAGAAAGUGCGUGAGAGUAACUGUUCACGUUUCGACGGUAUCUAACCAGAAAGCCACAGCUAACUACGUGCCAGCAGCCGAGGUAAUACGUAGGUGGCAAGCGUUAUCCGGAUUUAUUGGGCGUAAAGGGAACGCAGGCGGUCUUUUAAGUCUGAUGUGAAAGCCUUCGGCUUAACCGGAGGAGUGCAUUGGAA
Molecule: ribosomal RNA, 305 nt
Filed under: uncultured bacterium
Lineage: Bacteria
Description: bacterial SSU rRNA
Rfam family: Bacterial small subunit ribosomal RNA
Source: RNAcentral